CCUACGGGCGGCUGCAGUGGGGAAUUUUGGACAAUGGGCGCAAGCCUGAUCCAGCCAUUCCGCGUGAGUGAAGAAGGCCUUCGGGUUGUAAAGCUCUUUCGCAAGGGAAGAAAACUUAUCCUCUAACAUAGGAUGAGGUUGACGGUACCUUGAUAAGAAGCACCGGCUAACUACGUGCCAGCGGCCGCGGUAAUACGUAGGGUGCGUACGUUGAGUGGAAUUAGUGGGGGUAGAGUGGGCGGUCAGAUGUGAAAUCCCCGAGCUCAACUUGGGAACUGCGUUUGAAACUACAAGACUAGAAUAGGUCAGAGGGGGGUAGAAUUCCACGUGUAGCAGUGAAAUGCGUAGAGAUGUGGAGGAAUAUCAAUGGCGAAGGCAGCCCCCUGGGAUCAUAUUGACGCUCAUGCACGAAAGCGUGGGGAGCAAACAGGAUUAGAUACCCGUGUAGUC
Molecule: ribosomal RNA, 450 nt
Filed under: uncultured bacterium
Lineage: Bacteria
Description: partial 16S ribosomal RNA
Rfam family: Bacterial small subunit ribosomal RNA
Source: RNAcentral